CUCCACCACCAUACUACUACAAGUCUCCUCCCCCACCAUCACCGUCUCCUCCUCCACCAUACUACUACAAAUCCCCACCACCACCAUCCCCAUCGCCUCCUCCACCAUACUACUACAAGUCCCCACCACCACCAUCUCCAUCACCCCCACCUCCAUACUACUACAAAUCCCCACCUCCACCGUCACCGUCUCCUCCUCCACCAUACUACUACAAAUCACCACCACCCCCAUCACCAUCACCGCCACCUCCUUACUACUACCACUCUCCACCACCCCCAUCACCAUCACCCCCACCUCCUUACUACUACCACUCUCCACCACCACCAUCACCAUCUCCCCCUCCUCCUUACUACUAUCACUCCCCACCACCACCAUCACCAUCUCCCCCACCUCCUUACUACUACCACUCCCCACCUCCACCCGUGAAGUCUCCUCCUCCUCCAUACUACUACAACUCACCUCCCCCACCCGUAAAAUCACCUCCGCCUCCAGUAUACAUCUACAC
Molecule: long non-coding RNA, 505 nt
Filed under: Capsicum annuum
Lineage: Eukaryota; Viridiplantae; Streptophyta; Magnoliopsida; Solanales; Solanaceae
Description: long non-coding RNA (CANN_LNC005796)
Source: RNAcentral